CAGGUAUAGUUUAGUGGUAAAACUUUUGCUUCCCAAGCAAGUGAUACGGGUCCGAUUCCCGUUACCUG
RNAcentral lists this transfer RNA (68 nucleotides) under human gut metagenome. It matches the Rfam family "tRNA". Rfam says of the family: Transfer RNA (tRNA) molecules are approximately 80 nucleotides in length. RNAcentral also lists the same sequence under 1 other name. The record is from RNAcentral.